CCUACGGGUGGCUGCAGUGGGGAAUAUUGGACAAUGGGGGGGAACCCUGAUCCAGCCAUGCCGCGUGUGUGAAGAAGGCCCUCGGGUUGUAAAGCACUUUCAGUGAGGAAGAACGCCUGGUGGUUAAUACCCAUCAGGAAAGACAUCACUCACAGAAGAAGCACCGGCUAACUCCGUGCCAGCAGCCGCGGUAAUACGGAGGGUGCGAGCGUUAAUCGGAAUUACUGGGCGUAAAGCGCGCGUAGGUGGCUUGAUAAGCCGGUUGUGAAAGCCCCGGGCUCAACCUGGGAACGGCAUCCGGAACUGUCAAGCUAGAGUGCAGGAGAGGAAGGUAGAAUUCCCGGUGUAGCGGUGAAAUGCGUAGAGAUCGGGAGGAAUACCAGUGGCGAAGGCGGCCUUCUGGACUGACACUGACACUGAGGUGCGAAAGCGUGGGUAGCAAACAGGAUUAGAUACCCGAGUAGUC
Molecule: ribosomal RNA, 466 nt
Filed under: Vreelandella stevensii
Lineage: Bacteria; Pseudomonadati; Pseudomonadota; Gammaproteobacteria; Oceanospirillales; Halomonadaceae
Description: partial 16S ribosomal RNA
Rfam family: Bacterial small subunit ribosomal RNA
Source: RNAcentral